RNAcentral lists this long non-coding RNA (509 nucleotides) under Triticum aestivum (bread wheat). RNAcentral describes it as "long non-coding RNA (TAES_LNC023550)". The record is from RNAcentral. Lineage: Eukaryota; Viridiplantae; Streptophyta; Magnoliopsida; Poales; Poaceae.
GGACAUCUCUGUGAUAAAACAAUAUCAUAUCAAGUUCAUACUACGUACAAGGUACUCCAAAUAAAAUUGCUCAUACUGCUAAAACCCUCACUAACUGUUCAGGUGGAUACGAUGAUCCAACUCAUUGUGAAUGUGAAUUCUCAAGCCCAAUUAUUACAAUCCUAUUAUUGACCAAUGAUGGUCAAAUGUGCAAAUGAUGACAGCCAACAAGUCUGAAAGUUACUAGAACCCGACCCAUUUUAAUCACCCGCUUCCAGCAGUUUUCAAUCCACUAACAGACCAUUCCAUCCGUGCAGCAGCUUGUUAACAAAGAUAAGAAUUGUUUUUGGCACUUUCCUGCAAGUAGCAGAACAUAAACAUCAGUGGGGUCUACAAAUAAGAUCAAACAGUUGCACACAUGGAAUAAAAUGUGAAAUCAAAUGGAAUGAACACUGUUUAAUUAGGGACACAUGCAGUACCAGCUCAUUAACUUGGGGUAUAUUUGGUUUGGAGCCCAAGCAAAAAAAAAA